Molecule: long non-coding RNA, 3725 nt
Organism: Humulus lupulus (European hop)
Lineage: Eukaryota; Viridiplantae; Streptophyta; Magnoliopsida; Rosales; Cannabaceae
Exons: 13
Source: RefSeq, a predicted model, not a curated record
UGUUAAAAUUAGGGUGAAAAAAAAAAAACCACAAAUCUCGCGCAUUCUCCUAUUCUUCACUGUACACCCCCACGAAAUUUUUUUAUUCUUGUCUUCUUCAUUCCGGCAACUACAGCGACUCCUCAACUCCGGUCGGCAGCAGCUCCUCCUCAAUUCGUUGAAGAAGCCAUUAUCUUACUCCGGAAAAUGUGGAAUUACUUAAUACUUUUCAAGAAUUUGCGAGUGGAAUUACCAAUCUAAAAAUAUACACCUUUUUGAUAUUGACAUUCCUGGGAAGAUUACUUUUAUUGAAUCGAAGACUCUAACUGUUGGCCAUAAUCCUACAAUUGUGGACACAGAUGUGGGAAGAAUCGGUAUAGGUAUAUGUUAUGAUCUUCGGUUCCAGGAACUAGCAAUGAUUUAUGCAGCAAGAGGUGCUCACUUGCUAUGCUAUCCUGGGGCUUUCAACAUGACUACCGGACCUGUGCAUUGGGAAUUGCUACAAGGGCAAGGGCUGUAGAUAAUCAGAAGAAGUCGUGUUGAGACUUGAGAGCAAGUAACAAGUAGUCCUCACUAGAGAAGACAAAGAAGUGAAUAAGUCAUAUAGUUUUCUUAGAUAGCCUAAUCUAAAAGCAAAGUCACUUCAAUACUGACAAAUAUUGAAAGAAGAAAUAAGAAAAAGACAGAAAAAAUGGUGCUCCUGACACUCCAAGUGACGUUUGCACCUUGACUAAAAUGCAUAACUCCUCCCCAUCAUUGACUUGAGGCCAUGGGGCUUUGCCAAGUAUUUAUGUUUUGGGUGGAAAUAUUAGCAAGGAUCAUUGCCAAGUGAAUUAAUUUGCUUGAUUAUUGUUAAUUGCAAGAGGUACGUAUGUUCUCUUAUUUUUUUUAUAAAUAUUAUUAUAAAAAUGUUAGAGGAGUUUGAAUAUCUUAAAUAUUCAUCCAUAGUGAAGUAGGUUCUGAGAUUAAAAUUGUGUGUUGCGGUGAUAAUAGAAGGUUGAGAACUUGUGUAUUUUAGUGAAGUAGUUUCUGGGAAAUUUAUUUGUGUGCUGCGGAGAUAUAAGGAAGAAACUUAUUGUGUGUUGUUUGAAUUGCUUGGUUCUCUAUUGACAGAUGGUUAGGUCACUAUUACAAGAGAAAUGUUGCCAAAAUUCAUCUUGAAUUAUGUUUUAUUUUCUUAUAUUUAAAUUAUGUUGUGCUUGCAUUGUUAUUUUUUUAUUGGUAUGGGGAAGCUCUGUCAAAAUUUAAGUUAAAAAGAUAGUGUAUUAAUAGGAAUAUGACAGCGCUAAAAUAUUGUAUUCAAGUCUUGGUGAAAUUGCUUUUGUAAUAAUAAAGUAAUUAUGUUUUCACGUAUUGUGGUGUUUAACAUUCUAACCAUUAAACAAUCAUACACUAUAAUGAUUAGUUUUAUUGUAUAAAAAAUAAAUAGAUAGCAAUUCCAAAUAGCAAAGAACAAAAAGAUAUCCUCUCCAAUUCGAAAGUUAAGAGUCCUUUAGCUAGCACAAUUCAAUAAGUUGCUUAUUCUCAAUUACUCAGUUGUAGCAAACUGAAAAAAAAAUAUAUACACAUAUAUGAUAAGUGGCUAAUAUUUUGUCAUAUUGAUUAAUGAUAAGUUACUCAUUAGCAUGAUACUUAUAAUACAUAAUAUAAUCCAUUUGAACUACUAAUUAAUACUUAAAAAACUAUUGAGAGAUUGGUCAAAAUUGUAAAAUGGCCAUUGUUUGAUCAUGAUUAUCUCUUUCUUUCAAUAGCAAUUUUUUUGUCUCUUUUGUGGUUCUUAAGGACACGGAUCACUUAUAUAUUCUACCCAUUUGAAUACAUAUUUAUCUAUUUAACUCAACCCCGCCACACCACGCCACACAUGUCACACACACCUUGAGUCAUCUUUACUUGACACACCUUUCUACUUUUGCUAAAUUUAAAUCAUGAAAAAAGCCACACUUUAUUGCCUAACUAUCCUAUCGGAGUCUAUUAAUUCUAUAUAAGCUUCAAUCAAUAUCUUCUAAGUCAUCUCAAACAAUUAUUGAACAUCUACAUUUUACUUGCUGCGUGUUUCUACUAUGGCACUUCCUCAAGCCAACUUCGGUACCUUUUCUAGUUUUUAUUCUAGUUCGAAUUAAGAUGUUUGCAUGCCAUGUCUUCAAGGCCAAAGUCUAUUGAUGUUGAUUGGACUACAAAAGUGAUCUCUCAUGUUCGUGCUCACCAACCUCUCUUUCUCUAUAUGUAUCUUAAUAUAUUUGGAUAUAUAUAUACACAUUGAUCUCUCAUAUGUGUGCACUUCAAUUUCUAUUUCUCUCUCCCUAUAUAUGUUAUUACUCUCCUGUCAUGAUUACAAAUACAGCACAAUCAUGAUUUUUUUUUUUAAAUCAAAUUCUGGUGUCUAUUUUAAAAAUAAAAACAACAGAGUCUGGUUCUGGGCAUAAGAAUAACUACUUUAAGACAAAAAACAUAUUACAAAAACUUCUUAAGCAUAUUAUAUAUGGAAUUUUAUUUUCAUUUUCCUGACCUUUUUUUCUUUUGACUUCUUCGACUAGUACAUUUUAUAACUCACUCAAUGUUAUAAAGAAAGCCAAAUAGAAACAUUCAAAGAGGCAAAACAGAGCAAGAUUUUCAAAGUUCUUAUUUGAAAUAUACCUCGAGCAUUAACAAAUCUAAUGCAAUGCUUCCAUUUCAAAUCCCUACAAAAAUAAAGCUACAUUUCGUGAGUAAAAAGAAACCAAUGAAACUGAAAAAAUAGAAUGGAAAAAAGUAUAAACCCCAUGCCAAAAAGCUAUUCUUUCUCACUACAGGAGUUAUCGUCAGGUCAAAACUCAAAAGGGCAUAUGCACAAUAAGAUGAAAAAUAAAAAGUUAAAUCAAGAAUAAAUCUGAUCAAAUAAAAAAAAUCAUAUUCUAUAAUAAAACAAACCACUGAUCACAAUGGUUAGAUAAAAAAAAAACUUCAGUAAUGAAACUAGUCGAACUUGAGAUGAGAGAAGGAGAUGCGAGAAAGUAUAUAGGUCAAAACCAUUGGUUAUCAAAUGUUGGAUCCACUAAAGAAGAGCGAGUUGAAUGGGUAUCAAAUUGUAUGCUUGAUUCAAAUCCGGGUCAGAUGUGGUUGUUGCCAUAUCAUAAGGGAAAGCAUUGGAUGCUUAUAAUAAUUGAUUUUGAUCACCAAUUGUGCUAUUUCCUGGAUUCUCUUCACAAUUUUCCACCAGAUGAAAUCAAAUCUCUCAUUUCUCGUGUCUUUCAACAUUUACACACAAAUAAUGCAAAAACUAAGGAAGUCGCGUGGAGAACAGUUAAGUGUCCUCGUCAACCAUUACAAUCAGUACAAUGUGGGUCCUAUGUUAUGAGGAUGAUGAAGGACUUCGUGACAAAUGAGUUUUCAAUGCGAUGGAUAACUAGUAAUUGUGGCGGGAAGAACUAUUACACAAAGGAUGAGAUCAAUGAAGUACGUGAAGAAUGGGCACAAUGCGUCAUGGAUUUGAUGAGUACUACAUAGAAUCAUAACCCUGAAAAGGAGAAAGAGACUAAUGAGGAUUUGAAUAGAAAGUAAAGAGAUGGAGAAGUUGGAGUGUAGUUUUUAUUUAGUAAUUUUAUUGUUAGUUGAACAAUUUAAAUUUCUUUAUUUCGUUUUAGAAAUUUUAGAUUUCUUUAAACAAAGAAAACUACAGUCUAGAAAUUUAGUUUAUUGUUAGUAAUUUUGAUUAUUAAUGUUUGGAAACUUAUUUCUAUUUUUGCAUAACAUUUAUUUCUUUUAUUAAU